AGAAUCUAGGGAGUGCUUUGCCUCUGCCGCUGCUCUUUCUGUUUUGUAUCUCGACUUUCCUUGGGUUCUGUGAUUUGAUUUGCAACGAUGAUAGAGCUGUUCGUCUUGGGGUGUACCGGAGUUGUGGUGUUCCUUCACGGUGCCAAUUUCUUCUUCCAUGUUCUUUCCCAUCACCUUGCUGUUCGUUCUCUCAGUUUCUUGGGAUUUGUUGGGUGGUAGAACAAAGGGGGAAACCAGAGUUUGGAAGAGGAUUCAUUUCUCUCCAUGCAAGUUUUCAAUGUGGAUCGUGCUUUGUAAAUAUUUGAUUAUAACUUGGAUUUUGUAGCAUAUGAAUGUGGUGAUAAUUACGUAUCGUUGAAACGAAAUGAUGGCAUCCAACCUA
Hibiscus syriacus is the source of this 382-nucleotide long non-coding RNA. RefSeq lists it as uncharacterized. The record is from RefSeq and is a predicted model, not a curated record. Lineage: Eukaryota; Viridiplantae; Streptophyta; Magnoliopsida; Malvales; Malvaceae. The transcript is spliced from 2 exons.